This 425-nucleotide ribosomal RNA is filed under the name uncultured archaeon. RNAcentral's name for it is "partial 16S ribosomal RNA". It matches the Rfam family "Archaeal small subunit ribosomal RNA", at positions 323 to 746 of the family's 1478-position model. The record is from RNAcentral.
CUACGGGGGGCUGCAGCUAGGGAUAUUUUGCAAUGCGCGAAAGCGUGACAAAUUGAACCAGAGUGCCAAUCCAUAUCGGAGCGGCUUUUGCCAGUUGUAAAAAAACUGGAGAAUAAGGACUGGGCAAGACCGGUGCCAGCCGCCGCUGGUAAUCCCGGCGGUCCGAGUCGCAACCGCAUUUAUUGGGUCUAAAACAUCCGUAGCUUGUGAAGCAAGUCUUUUGUGAAAUCCCGCGUCUCAAGCGUGGGGCAGGCAAGAGAUACUGCUUUGCUAGAGACUGGAGGACGUAGGAAGUACGACAGAGGUAGUGGUUAAAUACGUUAAUCUUUGUCGGACUAACGAUAGCGAAGGCAUCCUACGAUUACAGUUCUGACAGUGAGGGAUGAAGGCUAGGGGCGCAAAACGGAUUAGAUACCCUAGUAGUC